AGUGAACGCUGGCGGUAGGCCUAACACAUGCCAGUCGAACGGCAGCACAGUAAUAGCUUGCUCUUAUGGGUGGCGAGUGGCGGACGGGUGAGGAAUACAUCGGAAUCUACUUUUUCGUGGGGGAUAACGUAGGGAAACUUACGCUAAUACCGCAUACGACCUACGGGUGAAAGCAGUGGAUCUUCUGACCUUGCGCGAUUGAAUGAGCCGAUGUCGGAUUAGCUAGUUGGCGGGGUAAAGGCCCACCAAGGCGACGAUCCGUAGCUGGUCUGAGAGGAUGAUCAGCCACACUGGAAGUGAGACACGGUCCAGACUCCUACGGGAGGAAGCAGUGGGGAAUAUUGGACAAUGGGCGCAAGCCUGAUCCAGCCAUACCGCGUGGGUGAAGAAGGCCUUCGGGUUGUAAAGCCCUUUUGUUGGGAAAGAAAAGCAGCAGGUUAAUACCCCGCUGUUCUGACGGUACCCAAAGAAUAAGCACCGGCUAACUUCGUG
RNAcentral lists this ribosomal RNA (492 nucleotides) under uncultured bacterium. RNAcentral's name for it is "partial 16S ribosomal RNA". It matches the Rfam family "Bacterial small subunit ribosomal RNA", at positions 29 to 507 of the family's 1533-position model. The record is from RNAcentral.